Long non-coding RNA from Orcinus orca (killer whale), 1957 nucleotides. RefSeq lists it as uncharacterized. Lineage: Eukaryota; Metazoa; Chordata; Mammalia; Artiodactyla; Delphinidae. The transcript has 3 exons. The record is from RefSeq and is a predicted model, not a curated record.
CAUUAUGAUACAUUUGAAUUAAAAAAAAAAUUUAAAAAAAAUUCCAAUUUUUAAAAAUUGUAUAUACAAACACAAAGGUUAGAAAACUGCAAGGGAAAUUUCGUUACAGACUGUUAGAGCUAUGUUUUGGUUUACAAAGCUUUGUUUUGUGUUAGGUGUACAUUUCCUUUCUGAAUUGUCUAGUUGGAGGAAACUGUUAGAAAAUGAUUAUUUUGUCUUUAUCGAAAGCACUCUUGAAAUUAGACCUCAGUUUUUUUGGAAACCUUGAUGUCUAGAAUUGAGGAAAUUUCCCAUUUAAAAACUCUUAAAGCUGGUCUACCUGGGUACAAAUCCCAUUUCUGCAACUAAUUAAUUGUAUGACUUGGGACAAGUGCAUAAUUCUCUGUGGCUCAAUUUCUUCAUCUAUAAAAUAGGGAUAAUUCUAAUGACUAGAAAGUACCAGGUUGACAGAAUAUGCUGAUGACUUUGUUAAGGAGUGUGUGUGUGUGUGUGUGUGUGUGUGUGUGUGUGUGUGAGAGAGAGAGAGAGAGAGAGAGGGAGAGAGAGAGAGAGAGAGAGAGAGAAAACACUAGCAAAGGAAAUUGAAAAGGGUCAGCCUACAUGGUAGGAGGAAACCAGGAAAGUGUCUUUAGAAACCAAACUAGUUUGUGAUUAACUGAAUUAAAUUCCGCUGUCUAGUAUAUUAAGUAAGAUUUACAGCUACUGUUGGAUUUAGCCAUUCAGCAGUGAUUGGUGACUUUGAGGGGAGCAGAUUUGGUGGAGGAGUGGACAAAAGCUUGAUUGGAAUGGUUUCAAGAGAGAAUGGAAGGAGAGAAAUAGGAGCAAGAAGUAUAGACAUUAAAAAAAUAUAGUUUUACAUUCAAAGUGAUAAACAGUAUGUAAUGUCUUUGAAAUAAUAGGUGACGUUUAUUGAGCACUUACUGUGUGACAGACACUGUUUUAGGCACUUGUAUUAACUUGUUUAAUGAGGAAUAAGAAAUACAGCUGGUCCUUGGUUUGCAUGAUAGUGUAAGACCACAUGCACUAAAGCCAUGGAAAGCAAUCUUGAAAAUCAGUGAGAAAGAUUAAGAUGUGACCUUCAACAUUUUCGUCAAAACAUUCUGUAUUUUUUUUUUUUUUUUUUUUUUGCGGUACGCGGCCCUCUCACUGUCGUGGUCUCUCCCGUUGCGGAGCACAGGCUCCGGACGCGCAGGCUCAGCGGCCAUGGCUCACGGGCCCAGCCGCUCCGCGGCAUGUGGGAUCUUCCCGGACCGGGGCACGAACCCGUGUCCCCUGCAUCGGCAGGCGGACUCUCAACCACUGCGCCACCAGGGAAGCCCCAAACAUUCUCUAUUUUGACUAGCUCUGUUGUUUAUUAAUGUAUUGGGAAGUGAAAAAAGUUAGUAAAACUAAUAUUUAUAGCACAUUGUAAUUUAAAACAUUAAAAACAUGAAAGACAAAAGUGUUUGUUUCACUGUAACAUACCAAGAUUAGUUUGAACAGCGCUUGCCUUCUCAUCUGUGUUUGUACAUCAGCUUCCAACAUUUUAGCUUUUCCUCUUUCAGUGUUGUGAAAUAUUUCCGAGAGUCGAUUUAAUGUGACGUUUUUGCGGGUAUUACUCCCUCUGGGAUGUCUCCUCCUUUUCAUCAUAACCACUUCCUCAUUUAUGUUUAUAAAUCCUCCUUCUCUAAGUCCCUCAGGCUGCAUAUCUGCCCCUCUGUGGGUCUGGGUCCGAGUGUGCCCUGCCUGAGCCUUCUAUUGCUAAUAUGCCAAAGUUAAAAAAAAAAAAAGGAUACUGAGACCAGGAGGGAGAAGUCAGUGGAGACAGGAGUACAGUGGGCAACCGACACCCCUUCACUGGGGAGGAUGAGCAGGACAGACAGAGACACCCGGCCCUCCCAGAACAGGGUGAAGCUGACAAGCUCAGUCUCUGUUGGUGAAACUGCUGGAUCCAGUGGUGCUGCAGGACAUGAUUUCA